UACGGGGGGUGCGAGCGUUGUCCGGAAUCACUGGGCGUAAAGGGCGCGUAGGUGGUUUGAUAAGGGUGUGGUGAAAGCCCGGGGCUCAACCCCGGGUCUGCCGUGCCGACUGUCAAACUCGAGGGCUGUAGAGGCAGACGGAAUUCCUGGUGUAGCGGUGAAAUGCGCAGAUAUCAGGAGGAACACCGGUGGCGAAGGCGGGUCUCUGGGCCGAUACUGACGCUGAGGAGCGAAAGCGUGGGGAGCGAACAGG
RNAcentral lists this ribosomal RNA (253 nucleotides) under uncultured bacterium. RNAcentral's name for it is "partial 16S ribosomal RNA". It matches the Rfam family "Bacterial small subunit ribosomal RNA", at positions 524 to 776 of the family's 1533-position model. The record is from RNAcentral.